This 340-nucleotide unclassified non-coding RNA is filed under the name Pucciniomycetes sp. RNAcentral describes it as "partial contains 5.8S ribosomal RNA, internal transcribed spacer 2, and large subunit ribosomal RNA". The stretch from base 1 to 71 matches the Rfam family "5.8S ribosomal RNA", at positions 84 to 154 of the family's 154-position model. Lineage: Eukaryota; Fungi; Basidiomycota; Pucciniomycetes. The record is from RNAcentral.
GUGAAUCAUCGAAUCUUUGAACGCACCUUGCGCCUUUUGGUAUUCCGAAAGGCACACCUGUUUGAGUGUCAUGAAACCCUCAACCUCGGUAUUUCGUAACUGGAAUAUCGAAGGCUUGGAUGUUGAGCGCUGCUGUUCAUGACAGCUCGCUUUAAAUAUAUGAGCGAUCUCUUUACUACUCGGAUUGACUCGGCGUGAUAACAAUUUUCGUCGAGGACGCUUUCACGAGCGGCCGAACAGUGUAAGCGUAGCUUCUAAACUGCCUUAGUGCACUUUGUCCUUUAGACCUCAAAUCAGGUGGGACUACCCGCUGAACUUAAGCAUAUCAAUAAGCGGAGGA